This 72-nucleotide transfer RNA is filed under the name Felis catus (domestic cat). It matches the Rfam family "tRNA". From Rfam's summary of the family: Transfer RNA (tRNA) molecules are approximately 80 nucleotides in length. Lineage: Eukaryota; Metazoa; Chordata; Mammalia; Carnivora; Felidae. The record is from Rfam by way of RNAcentral. RNAcentral also lists the same sequence under 4 other names.
GCCUGGCUGGCUCAGUUAGUAGAGCAUGUGACUCUUGAUCUCAGGGUUGUGAGUUCAAACUUAUGUUGGGUA